RNAcentral lists this long non-coding RNA (393 nucleotides) under Drosophila guanche. The record is from RNAcentral. Lineage: Eukaryota; Metazoa; Arthropoda; Insecta; Diptera; Drosophilidae.
CCCGCAAUGAAGUGCAGCGCUUGGGGCAUGAGGGAAAUUAUCUGGAAAGAGAAAAGAAACAGAUAUUUAUGGUCGGCACUUUUGGUGUCUUGAAGAAACUUCUUUCAUUUUACACCUGAAAAGGUGGGGAUGCUGAGCGCAGUGGAGAGCGAUGCUUAACUGCUUUUCUUGGGAGUCUCCUCUUGUUAACCCUGAACACGGAAAAGAAGAAAGAGAUGAGAGGCGAGAGGCAAGGCUGAUAGUUCGAUAGGCAAACGAGGGCCAGACAGAGACCAACCUCGGCUCAGAUAUGAUAAGCACAGAACUAAUUCCGGCUAAAAAAAAUAACUUUUGAUUUUAGUGGCAGUCGCUAUCCGAGUCUGGCAUUGGGAUUGCUCAAGGCUCUUGGAUAUU